CCCGCUGGCGAGGGCCGUAUGCCGAGCUACUGUAACCCGCUGGCGAGGGCCAUAAUCUUUGCCAACUAUUGUUCCCCGUUGGCAGGGUCUAAGCCAAGCUACUAUAACCCACUGGUGAGGGCCGUAUGCCGAGCUACUGUAACCCGCUGGCGAGGGCCAUAAUCUUUGCCAACUAUUGUUCCCCGUUGGCAGGGUCUAAACCAAGCUACUGUAACCCGCUG
RNAcentral lists this long non-coding RNA (221 nucleotides) under Phoenix dactylifera (date palm). RNAcentral's name for it is "long non-coding RNA (PDAC_LNC016106)". Lineage: Eukaryota; Viridiplantae; Streptophyta; Magnoliopsida; Arecales; Arecaceae. The record is from RNAcentral.